Molecule: long non-coding RNA, 422 nt
Organism: Chiroxiphia lanceolata (lance-tailed manakin)
Lineage: Eukaryota; Metazoa; Chordata; Aves; Passeriformes; Pipridae
Exons: 3
Source: RefSeq, a predicted model, not a curated record
GACACAACUUCAGGCCAUUCCCUUGUGUCCUGUCACUGGUCACCACAGAGAAGAGAUCAGUGCCUGCCCCUCCGCUUCCCCUCAAGAGGAAUCUGUAGACUACAAUGAAGUCCCCGCUCGGUGUUCUCCAGUCUGAACAAACCAGAAACUUCAACACUGGGCUCCCUCAAUAGGCAGUAAUCUGCAAUACCAGAUAUGUGUAUUAUCCUGAAAAGUUCAGGUGGGAGGAAGAUGUACAGAAGUGUGCCCUUUUUUGGGAUGCAUCAACUCACACACCUUCCUGGAAAAGACAAAAGGACAAAGAAAAAAACCUCAGCCCUGAGAAAAAAACAUCGACAAAGAAUUCUGUGUUGCUCUGUCACUUUCCAUUUCAUAUGAAAAUACUUCUUCCAAAAUUUGGAAGCAUUUUGUAAGAACAUUCA